This is a long non-coding RNA of Lingula anatina, 788 nucleotides long. RefSeq lists it as uncharacterized. The record is from RefSeq and is a predicted model, not a curated record. Lineage: Eukaryota; Metazoa; Brachiopoda; Lingulata; Lingulida; Lingulidae.
ACUCUGCAGUUGGGCACAGUUGAGUGAAGACGCAACAUUAUGUGUGGUGAAUUCACAAGUUUCAGCUUUUAUAAGACGCAGAAGCAAGUAUAUGAUUACACUUGGGUAAAUCCAUUUAUGCUUAAGAUUCCCAUGCUGUCAAAGAUCUUUUUGUAAGACGCCCACGGAGAAACUGUGCAACAUGGGUCUGCAAGCAACAAGGUCUUUGGUUGACAUAUAUCAUGCUCAAUUCCAUCUCUUAUAUCAAAUCCGAAUAAAUAUUUCUAUAAUUCCUCGUUAUUUUUUCAUAUUGAUAUAAAAUACACAGUUCAGCAAUAUUAAUGUGGGAAAGGGAAAGAUUACAUAGAUGUGACAACUGUCUCAAAUUCAAUCUGGAAACAUUGUGUAAUUUUAUCUUGGGAAUGAUGGUUUUCCAUAAAACCUGGGGUAUUUAAAAUUGAAAUGGUUUAAAGCUUUGUAAUGAUGCACAGUAUUUUGUAAACAAAAACUUGGACAUUAAAGCUCUAACCCGCUGAAAGAAUAUCUAAAUUUCAAUAUGAAGUAUAAAUUUACAAUCUUGCUAUCUAUUCAUAAGCUUUUGAUUUGUUUGUAGCAACAUGCAUGUCACCCCUCAAAUGGAAUGGGAUCAUCCCAUCUGUCACAACUCGAAUGUAAUGGAAUCGCCCCACCUGUCUCCCCUUGAGUGAAGUGAAAUCGUCCCACCUGUCACCCCUCAAAUGGAAUGAAAUCAGCCUACCUGUCACCCCUCAAAUGAAGUGAACUCGCCCCACUUGACACCCCUUAAAUGG